Schistosoma haematobium is the source of this 46-nucleotide non-coding RNA. The record is from Rfam. Lineage: Eukaryota; Metazoa; Platyhelminthes; Trematoda; Strigeidida; Schistosomatidae.
ACACUGCUGAGGAGUCCCACAAUAGGAGGAAACGGCUGUUCAGUGU